This 104-nucleotide small nucleolar RNA is filed under the name Neotoma lepida (desert woodrat). RNAcentral's name for it is "Small nucleolar RNA U13". It matches the Rfam family "Small nucleolar RNA U13". The record is from Rfam by way of RNAcentral. Lineage: Eukaryota; Metazoa; Chordata; Mammalia; Rodentia; Cricetidae.
AUCCUUUUUUGGUUCAUAAGCGUGAUGAUUGGGAAUUUAUGCUAAUGCAUGAUGUGUGUAUCCAUUAAACCUUGUUACAACAUUGGCACAUUACCUGUCUGAUG